GACGAACGCUGGCGGCGUGCUUAACACAUGCAAGUCGAACGGAAAGGCCCUGCUUUUGUGGGGUGCUCGAGUGGCGAACGGGUGAGUAACACGUGAGUAACCUGCCCUUGACUUUGGGAUAACUUCAGGAAACUGGGGCUAAUACCGGAUAGGAGCUCCUGCUGCAUGGUGGGGGUUGGAAAGUUUCGGCGGUUGGGGAUGGACUCGCGGCUUAUCAGCUUGUUGGUGGGGUAGUGGCUUACCAAGGCUUUGACGGGUAGCCGGCCUGAGAGGGUGACCGGCGACAUUGGGACUGAGAUACGGCCCAGAGUCCUACGGGAGGCAGCAGUGGGGAAUAUUGCACAAUGGGCGGAAGCCUGAUGAAGCAACGCCGCGUGCGGGAUGACGGCCUUCGGGUUGUAAAACGCUUUCGCCUGUGACGAAGCGUGAGUGACGGUAAUGGGUAAAGAAGCACCGGCUAACUACGUG
This 468-nucleotide ribosomal RNA is filed under the name uncultured bacterium. Its description in RNAcentral is "partial 16S ribosomal RNA". It matches the Rfam family "Bacterial small subunit ribosomal RNA", at positions 28 to 507 of the family's 1533-position model. The record is from RNAcentral.